Molecule: ribosomal RNA, 499 nt
Filed under: uncultured bacterium
Lineage: Bacteria
Description: bacterial SSU rRNA
Rfam family: Bacterial small subunit ribosomal RNA
Source: RNAcentral
ACUCAAAGGAAUUGACGGGGGCCCGCACAAGCAGUGGAGUAUGUGGUUUAAUUCGAAGCAACGCGAAGAACCUUACCAGGGCUUGACAUAUAGAUGAAUAUUCAAGAGAUUGAAUAGCCAUUCGUGGCAUCUAUACAGGUGGUGCAUGGUUGUCGUCAGCUCGUGUCGUGAGAUGUUGGGUUAAGUCCCGCAACGAGCGCAACCCCUGUGAUUAGUUGCUAACAAGUGAAGUUGAGAACUCUAAUCAGACUGCCGUUGAUAAAACGGAGGAAGGUGGGGAUGACGUCAAAUCAUCAUGCCCUAUAUGUCCUGGGCAACACACGUACUACAAUGGUAGUGGACAGAGAGAAGCGAAGUAGCGAUACUAAGCGAAACUUAUAAAAGCUAUCCCAGUUCGGAUUGCAGGCUGAAAUUCGCCUGCAUGAAGCCGGAAUUGCUAGUAAUGGCAGGUCAGCAUACUGCCGUGAAUACGUUCCCGGGCCUUGUACACACCGCCCGU